This 230-nucleotide ribosomal RNA is filed under the name uncultured bacterium. RNAcentral's name for it is "partial 16S ribosomal RNA". It matches the Rfam family "Bacterial small subunit ribosomal RNA", at positions 118 to 350 of the family's 1533-position model. The record is from RNAcentral.
CGGGCAACCUGCCCUCAGCUCUGGGAUAACUCCGGGAAACCGGGGCUAAUACCGGAUACGACCUUCCCUCGCAUGGGGGUUGGUGGAAAGUUCUUCGGCUGAGGAUGGGCCCGCGGCCUAUCAGCUUGUUGGUGGGGUGAUGGCCUACCAAGGCGACGACGGGUAGCCGGCCUGAGAGGGCGUGCGGCCACACUGGGACUGAGACACGGCCCAGACUCCUACGGGAGGCA